RNAcentral lists this ribosomal RNA (951 nucleotides) under Chromolaenicola chiangraiensis. Its description in RNAcentral is "SSU rRNA". It matches the Rfam family "Eukaryotic small subunit ribosomal RNA", at positions 96 to 1056 of the family's 1831-position model. RNAcentral also lists the same sequence under 3 other names. The record is from RNAcentral. Lineage: Eukaryota; Fungi; Ascomycota; Dothideomycetes; Pleosporales; Didymosphaeriaceae.
GCUCAUUAAAUCAGUUAUCGUUUAUUUGAUAGUACCUUACUACUUGGAUAACCGUGGUAAUUCUAGAGCUAAUACAUGCUAAAAACCCCAACUUCGGGAGGGGUGUAUUUAUUAGAUAAAAAACCAAUGCCCUUCGGGGCUCCUUGGUGAUUCAUGAUAACUUCUCAGAUCGCAUGGCUUUACGCCGGCGACGGUUCAUUCAAAUUUCUGCCCUAUCAACUUUCGAUGGUAAGGUAUUGGCUUACCAUGGUUUCAACGGGUAACGGGGAAUUAGGGUUCGAUUCCGGAGAGGGAGCCUGAGAAACGGCUACCACAUCCAAGGAAGGCAGCAGGCGCGCAAAUUACCCAAUUCCGAUACGGAGAGGUAGUGACAAUAAAUACUGAUACAGGGCUCUUUUGGGUCUUGUAAUUGGAAUGAGUACAAUUUAAACCUCUUAACGAGGAACAAUUGGAGGGCAAGUCUGGUGCCAGCAGCCGCGGUAAUUCCAGCUCCAAUAGCGUAUAUUAAAGUUGUUGCAGUUAAAAAGCUCGUAGUUGAACCUUUGGCCUGGCUGGCAGGUCCGCCUCACCGCGUGCACUUGACCGGCCGGGCCUUUUCUUCUGGAGAACCGCAUGCCCUUCACUGGGUGUGUUGGGGACCAGGACUUUUACUUUGAAAAAAUUAGAGUGUUCAAAGCAGGCCUUUGCUCGAAUACGUUAGCAUGGAAUAAUAGAAUAGGACGUGCGGUCCUAUUUUGUUGGUUUCUAGGACCGCCGUAAUGAUUAAUAGGGACAGUCGGGGGCAUCAGUAUUCAAUUGUCAGAGGUGAAAUUCUUGGAUUUAUUGAAGACUAACUACUGCGAAAGCAUUUGCCAAGGAUGUUUUCAUUAAUCAGUGAACGAAAGUUAGGGGAUCGAAGACGAUCAGAUACCGUCGUAGUCUUAACCAUAAACUAUGCCGACUAGGGAUCGG